UUUUCAGUAUGAGUAUGUCCUGUGUAAGACUCAGGAUAUACUUAUACUAAGA
RNAcentral lists this microRNA precursor (52 nucleotides) under Marmota monax (woodchuck). Lineage: Eukaryota; Metazoa; Chordata; Mammalia; Rodentia; Sciuridae. The record is from RNAcentral.